Camelina sativa (false flax) is the source of this 859-nucleotide non-coding RNA. NCBI's taxonomy places the organism in Eukaryota, Viridiplantae, Streptophyta, Magnoliopsida, Brassicales, Brassicaceae. The record is from RefSeq and is a predicted model, not a curated record.
UAGAUCGAUCAGUACUUGUUGUGUUUGUGUACCACACAAACAAAGGAAUAAAAUCACGUCAUGUCUAAUUUUAUGGGACUGUCCAUUGAAGUAAUCUUAAGUUUCUCAUUGUAGUUAAAGAUGCAUGAUUUUGUUAAGUUUCUCUAGGGUCUAUAUUAGAAAUUCAUCAUCUCCCUGACAAUGCUCUUCUUCCUGCGCUUAAGACUCUCACUGUUGAUUCAGUUAGAUUCUCUGAUCAUUCUGGUUGUGCGUUCCAAAAGCUUAUCUCUGCUUGCCCUGUGCUUGUAGAGUUAAAUAUGGUUAAUGUUGAAUGGGAGCAUUGGGAACUAUUCCCUCCAAGAUGUGAAGAUGAACCAGUUCUAGCAAAUCAAUUCUCAGCAUUUGUUUCACGUCUUAAUGGUAAAAAAAAGUACUCAAGCGUGUUAUGUUCUAAGAACCCAAAGCUUGGCAAAGUCAGAAUCUGGAAUUGGUUCUUGUGACUGGAAUCUGAAAGGAGACAAGUCUACCUAUCAUGCUUUAGCGCAAUUGCAGCUGCCUUUGGAGGAGGCUUGCCUCCGGGUAUAACUGGCACAAAUGAUAGGUGUACAUUGCUUGUCUCCAAUCUGAAUGCGGAUAGUAUUGAUGAGGAUAAGCUAUUCAAUCUGUUUUCUCUUUACGGGAACAUUGUAAGGAUUAAACUUCUUCGGAACAAACCUGACCACGCCCUUGUCCAAAUGGGUGAUGGUUUCCAAGCUGAACUUGCAGUACAUUUCUUGAAGGGAGCGAUGCUAUUUGGUAAGCGGUUAGAAGUAAACUUCUCGAAGCAUCCAAAUAUAACACCAGGCACAGACUCCCAUGAUUACGUAAACUCGAAACAACU